Molecule: ribosomal RNA, 442 nt
Filed under: fungal sp.
Lineage: Eukaryota; Fungi
Description: SSU rRNA
Rfam family: Eukaryotic small subunit ribosomal RNA
Source: RNAcentral
UUGAAGUUUCGGGGUUAGUAGGUUGGUCAUGCCUCUGGUAUGUACUGGUCUCACUGAUUCCUCCUUCCUGAUGAACCGUAAUGCCAUUAAUUUGGUGGUUCGGGGUAAUUUGGACUGUUACUUAGAAAAAAUUAGAGUGUUUAAAGCAAGCUAACGCUUGAAUACAUUAGCAUGGAAUAAUAAAAUAGGACGUUCGAUCCUAUUUUGCUGGUUUCUAGGAUUGACGUAAUGAUUAAUAGGGAUAGUUGGGGGCAUUAGUAUUCAAUUGUCAGAGGUGAAAUUCUUGGAUUUAUUGAAGACUAACUACUGCGAAAGCAUUUGCCAAGGAUGUUUCAUUAAUCAAGAACGAAAGUUAGGGGAUCGAAGACGAUCAGAUACCGUCGUAGUCUUAACCAUAAACUAUGCCGACUAGGGAUCGGAUGAUGUUUAAUUUUAAUGACUC